This 433-nucleotide ribosomal RNA is filed under the name uncultured bacterium. RNAcentral describes it as "partial 16S ribosomal RNA". It matches the Rfam family "Bacterial small subunit ribosomal RNA", at positions 29 to 507 of the family's 1533-position model. The record is from RNAcentral.
AACGAACGCUGGCGGCAUGCCUAACACAUGCAAGUCGAACGAGACCUUCGGGUCUAGUGGCGCACGGGUGCGUAACGCGUGGGAACCUGCCCUUAGGUUCGGAAUAACUCCCCGAAAGGGGUGCUAAUACCGGAUAAUGUCUUCGGACCAAAGAUUUAUCGCCUUUGGAUGGGCCUGCGUUGGAUUAGCUAGUUGGUAGGGUAAAAGCCUACCACGGCGACGAUCCAUAGCUGGUCUGAGAGGAAGAUCAGCCACACUGGGACUGAGACACGGCCCAGACUCCUACGCGAGGCAGCAGUGGGGAAUAUUGGACAGUGGGCGAAAGCCUGAUCCAGCAAUGCCGCGUGAGUGAUGAAGGCCUUAGGGUUGUAAAGCUCUUUUACCCGGGAUGAUAAUGACGGUACCGGGAGAAUAAGCUCCGGCUAACUCCGUG